This 253-nucleotide ribosomal RNA is filed under the name uncultured bacterium. Its description in RNAcentral is "partial 16S ribosomal RNA". It matches the Rfam family "Bacterial small subunit ribosomal RNA", at positions 524 to 776 of the family's 1533-position model. The record is from RNAcentral.
UACAGAGGGUGCAAGCGUUAUUCGGAAUUAUUGGGCGUAAAGCGCGCGUAGGCGGUUUGGUAAGUCUGAUGUGAAAUCCCCGGACUCAAUUCGGGAAGUGCAUUGGAUACUGCUAGACUGGAGUAUGGGAGAGGAGAGUGGAAUUCCAGGUGUAGAGGUGAAAUUCGUAGAUAUCUGGAGGAACAACAGAGGCGAAGGCGGCUCUCUGGACCAUUACUGACGCUGAGGCGCGAAAGCGUGGGGAGCAAACAGG